UAAUCAUUAGUUUCUUAAUUAGAAGCUUGUAUGAACGGCUGGACGAGGGAAUUUCUGUCUCAUAUUAAUUUAUAUUAGAACUUUAUUUUUAAGUUAAAAAGCUUAAAUGAUUUUAAAAGACGAGAAGACCCUAUAGAGUUUUAUAUUAAUAUCUAUGAAGGCUAAUUCGAAUUAUUAUUACUUUAUAGGUGUUGAUAUUUUGUUGGGGUGACAGGGAAAUUUAAUAAACUUUUCUUUUAAUUUGACAUUGAUUUAUGAAUGAUUGAUCCAAUAGUUUUGAUUAUAAGAUUAAAUUACCUUAGGGAUAACAGCGUUAUUUUACUAGAGAGUUCAUAUCGAAAGUAAAGUUUGCGACCUCGAUGUUGGAUUAAAAUGCAUUAUUGGUGUAGAAGCUAAUAAAUUAAGUCUGUUCGACUUUUAAAAUUUU
This 427-nucleotide ribosomal RNA is filed under the name Hololepta sp. 40LP. RNAcentral's name for it is "partial 16S ribosomal RNA". The stretch from base 304 to 427 matches the Rfam family "Bacterial large subunit ribosomal RNA", at positions 2473 to 2597 of the family's 2925-position model. Lineage: Eukaryota; Metazoa; Arthropoda; Insecta; Coleoptera; Histeridae. The record is from RNAcentral.